UACGAAGGGUGCAAGCGUUACUCGGAAUUACUGGGCGUAAAGCGUGCGUAGGCGGUUUGUUAAGUCCGUUGUGAAAGCCCCCGGCUCAACUGGGGAGGGUCACGCGAUACUGUUCGACUCGAAGGCAGGAGAGGGAAGCGGAAUUCCCGGUGUAGUGGUGAAAUGCGUAGAUAUCUGGAGGAACACCGGUGGCGAAGGCGGCAUCCUGGACCGGCAUUGACGCUGAGGAGCGAAAGCCAGGGGAGCAAACGGG
This 253-nucleotide ribosomal RNA is filed under the name uncultured bacterium. RNAcentral's name for it is "partial 16S ribosomal RNA". It matches the Rfam family "Bacterial small subunit ribosomal RNA", at positions 524 to 776 of the family's 1533-position model. The record is from RNAcentral.